CGCAUCUGUGCAUGCAGCAUAUCAAUAAGCGGAGGAAAAGAAACUAACAAGGAUUCCCUUAGUAACGGCGAGUGAAGCGGGAAGAGCUCAAAUUUGAAAUCUUCAAGGUUUUACCUUGACGAAUUGUAGUUUAAAGAAGUGUUUUCUGUUGAAGUUUUGGUAAAAGUUCUUUGGAAUAGGACAUCAUAGAGGGUGAGAAUCCCGUAUUUGACCAUUAUUUUCAGCUGUGUGAUACACUUUCAAAGAGUCGGAUUGUUUGGGAAUGCAGUCCAAAAUGGGUGGUAAAUUUCAUCUAAAGCUAAAUAUUGGCGAGAGACCGAUAGCGAACAAGUACCGUGAGGGAAAGAUGAAAAGAACUUUGAAAAGAGAGUUAAACAGUACGUGAAAUUGUCAAAAGGGAAGCGUUUGACACCAGUGUUGUUUUCUCGAAAAUCAAUUAAAAAGAGUUAGAUUUUGUUGUGUAUUGACCUUAACAGCUUGCAUUUCAAUUUUCUUGCUUUUUUUAAUGCACUUUUCGUUUAACAAGUCAACAUCAGUUUCUUUUGUUGUAAAAAGGUCAUUGGAAGGUGGCUUUCUUUUCGGAGAAAGUGUUUAUAGCCUUUGACUCCUGCAAUCGGAGAGACUGAGGUCUGCAGCGUAGAUCCUUCGGGGUUAGAUACAUUUGUGCUAAGUUAUAGCUUUUUAUAGACAACUUGUUGACUAUGAUUAGUCUUGUAGCUUACUCGCUUAUGCUAUUUUACCUACGCUUAGGAUGUUGAACUCUAUCACACACA
RNAcentral lists this ribosomal RNA (773 nucleotides) under uncultured Neocallimastigales. RNAcentral describes it as "partial large subunit ribosomal RNA". It matches the Rfam family "Eukaryotic large subunit ribosomal RNA", at positions 26 to 615 of the family's 3401-position model. The record is from RNAcentral. Lineage: Eukaryota; Fungi; Neocallimastigomycota; Neocallimastigomycetes; Neocallimastigales.